Molecule: long non-coding RNA, 267 nt
Filed under: Homo sapiens (human)
Lineage: Eukaryota; Metazoa; Chordata; Mammalia; Primates; Hominidae
Description: novel transcript
Source: RNAcentral
GAACCUGGCUCCUUCCUGUAUUAUGCUCCCUUCGAUGGCAUCCUGGGGCUGGCCUACCCCAGCAUUUCCUCCUCCGGGGCCACACCCGUCUUUGACAACAUCUGGAACCAGGGCCUGGUUUCUCAGGACCUCUUCUCUGUCUACCUCAGCGCCGAUGACAAGAGUGGCAGCGUGGUGAUCUUUGGUGGCAUUGACUCUUCUUACUACACUGGAAGUCUGAACUGGGUGCCUGUUACCGUCGAGGGUUACUGGCAGAUCACCGUGGAC